Calidris pugnax (ruff) is the source of this 1614-nucleotide long non-coding RNA. RefSeq lists it as uncharacterized. Lineage: Eukaryota; Metazoa; Chordata; Aves; Charadriiformes; Scolopacidae. The record is from RefSeq and is a predicted model, not a curated record. The transcript is spliced from 3 exons.
UUUAAGGUCCCUUCCAACCAUUCUGUCAUUCUAUGAAAGAAAACACCAGAAGUCUCUUUAACCUUAUUGCUUCUUAAUACACUCAGAAAAAUUUUGCCCCGUAGUUCCUUUACAUGCAUCGACUUCAAAAUAGCAACUUCUUCUUACAUUCAUGGGUUUGACCAAUUAAAGAUCCUUUGAAUGCAUAACUCAAUACUUAUGAACUUCAAAUGUCUUAUUUUUUGCUGCUAGACCACUGGCAAUAUUUUUUUUUCUUCAUCUGCUGACAAAAUACCAAUACAUUAUGCCAGUUUUUACGGGUGUCUUGUAAAUUUUUCUUUGCUUAAUUAGUGCAUAUUUUUUCCAUAUAAAAUGACUCCAUUAAAUGCCUCUUGCCUGCAAGCAGUUAGUCUGCCAGCUUUAUCCACCUCUUGUAAUCUACCUGUUCUAUAAAUUACCAGAAUCACCGGGACAGUAACAUUCUUCUUUCUUUACAUUUCUGUGUAACGUUUACCAGAAGGGAGGCAGAAGGAGUUUAAGUUUGGGGAUUUAUAGCAGUCAUUGCUUCAUAAGUAAUGAAUCAUAAUAAUAUACAAACACUGAUUUUUAAUUUUUUUUUAGUCCAAAAAUCUCCUUUACUCCAGGGAAAUGCAGAGCACGGUCCCAUAGGGAAAUUUUCUACUGAUCAGCAAGGGGAAAACUUACAGCAGACUAUGCUGAACAUACAGAACGUGGGAACCAGCACAGUCUGCUCAAGACAGUUGAUGAAGCAGUGUUACAGAAGUGGUAUGUAGAAGUCCUAUGUGGUAUGUGCAGUUCUAACCUCAGACCCGGUCAGUUGAAGCUUUCUGGGGCGUGCUAGUGCUAUCCAUUUCAAGCUACUGUAAUUUCCAACCACAACACACCUACAGGUAAGUCAAGGAAGACGACAUUUGCAAAAAAGCUUCAGCAGGUGUGAGUUGGCAUGGCUGAGGAGAGUAGGCUGAUUUUCACCAGGCAAUACCCUAAGAAUCCUGUAGUCCAUGACCUCACCCCAACAUUACUCUUUGAAAAGCAUAAAACAUAAGAAAUUUGGUUUAUAUUUACACAGAAAGCAAAUGUGUGACUAUGUUCUCAUUGUUCCAUAGGACAAAAGACUUGGAUGCAGACUGCAGGGACUGCAAUUUCAGUUCCCUUGAACUCCAAUUCAUGGGGCUGAGGGUCAAGGGACACCAGAGUCUUCAGCUCUUCUUCAGGAGACAAAAGACCCCCAAGGAAAAGCAGCCUGUGUGCAACCCUUCUGCUACGCUCCCAGUCCACCCUGUACAUCAGCGGGCCACCGGCACACACGAGCGACCGGGGCGAGUGCUCGACAUGACUAAUGGCAGGAGAAACCACACGUGCCCAACUGGAACAAAACCCUGAGGUCCCCGACAGAGUCAACUCGCUCAUGCGGUGGCUGCAAUAUCUGAUUGAUUCCCCUGCCUGACCCAAGUCACGGGGAGGCAGCCCGAGGGUUAUCUCGGCUCAGCGAUGUGACCCGCUCUGGAGGGAUGUGACCAGGGUGACCUGGCUGAGAAUCUGCUUGCACGAAUAAUCCAACCCUACCAGCGUUGCUGAGCAGGUCACUGACAUCAUCUGAGAGACAGUAAGAAA